GGAUUAGAUACCCUGGUAGUCCACGCUGUAAACGAUGAAUACUAGGUGUUGGGGGCGAAGCCCUCAGUGCCGCAGUUAACACAUUAAGUAUUCCGCCUGGGGAGUACGAUGGCAAGAUUAAAACUCAAAGGAAUUGACGGGGGCCCGCACAAGCAGCGGAGCAUGUGGUUUAAUUCGAAGCAACGCGAAGAACCUUACCAAGGCUUGACAUCCUAAGAAUCCUAAAGAGAUUUGGGAGUGCCCUUCGGGGAACUUAGAGACAGGUGGUGCAUGGUUGUCGUCAGCUCGUGCCG
RNAcentral lists this ribosomal RNA (293 nucleotides) under uncultured bacterium. Its description in RNAcentral is "partial 16S ribosomal RNA". It matches the Rfam family "Bacterial small subunit ribosomal RNA", at positions 775 to 1067 of the family's 1533-position model. The record is from RNAcentral.